RNAcentral lists this ribosomal RNA (454 nucleotides) under uncultured bacterium. RNAcentral's name for it is "partial 16S ribosomal RNA". It matches the Rfam family "Bacterial small subunit ribosomal RNA", at positions 28 to 507 of the family's 1533-position model. The record is from RNAcentral.
GAUGAACGCUGACAGAAUGCUUAACACAUGCAGGUCAACUUGAACUUCGGUUUGGGUGGCGGACGGGUGAGUAACGCGUAAAGAACUUGCCUCACAGAUAGGGACAACAUUUGGAAACGAAUGCUAAUACCUGAUAUUAUGAUUUUAGGGCAUCCUAGGAUUAUGAAAGCUAUAUGCGCUGUGAGAGAGCUUUGCGUCCCAUUAGCUAGUUGGAGAGGUAACGGCUCACCAAGGCGAUGAUGGGUAGCCGGCCUGAGAGGGUGAUCGGCCACAAGGGGACUGAGACACGGCCCUUACUCCUACGGGAGGCAGCAGUGGGGAAUAUUGGACAAUGGACCAAGAGUCUGAUCCAGCAAUUCUGUGUGCACGAUGAAGUUUUUCGGAAUGUAAAGUGCUUUCAGUUGGGAAGAAAAAAAUGACGGUACCAACAGAAGAAGUGACGGCUAAAUACGUG